AGAGUUAACUGUCAAUAAGAGAGAAUGAUGGUGUAAGCCUAUGAAAUUUUGGUUGCUUCUAUUUUUACUAAUGUGUAUGCUUAUUGCUUUAAAUUACUCGUCUGUUGGUAUGCUGAUUUUUACAUUCAUUACAGGAAAAGCAAGUAGAUGAAGACAGCAAUUAAGCUUUUGAAUCCAUGUAUGCUAUUCAACCUAAAUGUACUAUGAAUUAAGGGGGGAACUAACAGGAUAUAGGAGUAUGUGCUCAAGACCACCUCCUUGUAUUUCUUGUGAAAAAUGAGCUCAAUUGACCUCUGUUCCGACUUCUCAGUCGCCAUGGAACCGCUGUCAUAGUCAAAAGAUGGUUUCUGGGUUUCAGUACAAAUCAAUUGCCAUCUGAGUUCGAUUCCUUCAAAAACAUCCACAACCAUUUCUCCUUUGCUGACAGUGACUGAGAGGUUCUUCUCUCGCAGGCCUUUGGAAACAUUAAGCCGGCCGACCGAGGGGGUGAUUUUGGUGCGCAAAUAGAGUUCAGAAGCCUGAUAAAUUUGAUUUACAGAGAGCCCAUUGAACUCUUGAAUGACAAGGACCAUUUCAGAAGAGUGACUACCAAGAAGGCCUCCAAGUUUGGAAACGAUCUUCUCUCGGAGUUGUUGGGGUAUGAGCUGGUUGGCCAUGGUCUCAACUUCACUCACCACAGUCCGGACCAGCAUUGCUGAUGCAGCAAAGGUGGUGUAUGUUGAUAAAACUGAGGCAGUUGAAGGCAUACCACUUAGAGAAAACAUGCUUUGGGUUGGGAUAUUGGAAAGAGUAGAAGGGUUGUUGGGGGGUUUCACAAUGCAGAGGGCUUGCUUUGAGUAUAUUUGGCUGCUUGAGUUGUGACCAUGUUAUGUGAAUGGGUUUUUAUAGAGCAGCACUCUGGAGAGAGGAGCUUCCACUGGAAGCUGUUUGA
Vitis riparia (riverbank grape) is the source of this 931-nucleotide long non-coding RNA. RefSeq lists it as uncharacterized. The transcript is spliced from 2 exons. The record is from RefSeq and is a predicted model, not a curated record. Lineage: Eukaryota; Viridiplantae; Streptophyta; Magnoliopsida; Vitales; Vitaceae.